Non-coding RNA from Pelobates cultripes (western spadefoot toad), 321 nucleotides. The record is from the annotation of a GenBank genome assembly. NCBI's taxonomy places the organism in Eukaryota, Metazoa, Chordata, Amphibia, Anura, Pelobatidae.
CCAGAAUUUGGUGAUUGUUGUGAGUAGCAAAUAGUUAUAACCAGAAGAGGCCCCUCCGGAAUGCCAGAGCAGAUAAGCCCAGCAGUUCAGCUUCCAGUCACUGCUUUCCCUUUAAUGGUUUGACAACCAAUCCACAGCAAGGUUGGUCUUUCCCAGCAGACAAAUAUAUAAAUCUCCUUUGUGAGAUCCGACAGAAAGUGGGAACAAGCACCUCCAAGGGGAUUUAUGUAACACACUGCAGAUGCAUUGUCCAUCCGCAGCAUAAUGCAACAGUUGCACCUUCCCUUUUCCAAACUGUUCAAGGAAUUGAUUUGCAUAGAG